CCCUUAGAUGUUCUGGGCCGCACGCGCGCUACACUGACGGAGUCAACGAGUUGUCCUGCAUCGAAAGGUGUGGGUAAUCUUUUGAAACUUCGUCGUGCUGGGGAUAGAUCUUUGCAAUUAUCGAUCUUGAACGAGGAAUUCCUAGUAAGCGUGAUUCAUCAGAUCGCGUUGAUUACGUCCCUGCCCUUUGUACACACCGCCCGUCGCUACUACCGAUUGAAUGGUUUAGUGAGGCCUCGGGACUGGGGCGAGUAGGCAGCAAUGCCCGUUCGUGCCGGGAACUUGGUCAAACUUGAUCAUUUAGAGGAAGUAAAAGUCGUAACA
This 324-nucleotide ribosomal RNA is filed under the name uncultured eukaryote. RNAcentral describes it as "partial 18S ribosomal RNA". It matches the Rfam family "Eukaryotic small subunit ribosomal RNA", at positions 1470 to 1796 of the family's 1831-position model. The record is from RNAcentral.